This 813-nucleotide long non-coding RNA is filed under the name Musa acuminata (dwarf banana). RNAcentral's name for it is "long non-coding RNA (MACU_LNC000186)". Lineage: Eukaryota; Viridiplantae; Streptophyta; Magnoliopsida; Zingiberales; Musaceae. The record is from RNAcentral.
AUACGGAUAUGGGAAUCAAUUAACAUUUCCUACGGAAAUAGCAUGCUAAAAUGUACUAAAAGAAACCAAAACAAAAAAACAAAAACAUAAAAAGGAGUAUGGAUGAAGUGAAGGCAGUUCUCCUCCCUCGUCCACACAUUUGAAAUCCCAAUGUCGACUGCCUCCACCACACCACCACCACACAAAGCAGAGCCACUUCGACCGCAACAGUCACUGCAGCACAUCGACUCCAUGGCCUCCCUCCAUCUCCUUCCCAACUCCCUCGCUCCCGUCACCCCAUCGUUCCCUCCUCCCACUCUCCGCCACUCCUCGGUUUCCACCUUCGUUUCAUCUCCACCAGCUCCGCAUCCGCGGAGGCUUGCCCUCUCCGCCUGCGCCAAGAGGAAGAAGAACCCGUGGCUCGACCCCUUCGACGACGGGGAGGACCCCGACAUGGAGUACGGCUCCCUCUUCGCCGACGGCAAACAGGAGGAGGAUCCGAGGCCGCCAGAGGACCCCGACAACCCUUACGGCUUCCUCAAGUUCCCCAUGGGCUUCAACGUGGAGCUCGACUCGCUCGCCGCCAAGGUGCGGGGCGACGUGCGGCGCUGCUGCUGCGUCGUGUCUGGCGGCGUCUACGAGAACCUGCUCUUCUUCCCGGUCGUCCAGCUCAUCAAGGACCGCUACCCGGGGGUUCUGGUGGACGUGGUCGCCUCGCCGAGGGGGAAGCAGACCUACGAGCUGAACAAGAACGUGCGGUGGGCAAACGCCUACGACCCCGACGAAGACUUCCCUGAGUCCGCCGAGUACAUCGACAUGAUCGGUGUCCUAAAG